RNAcentral lists this long non-coding RNA (456 nucleotides) under Zostera marina. Its description in RNAcentral is "long non-coding RNA (ZMAR_LNC000098)". The record is from RNAcentral. Lineage: Eukaryota; Viridiplantae; Streptophyta; Magnoliopsida; Alismatales; Zosteraceae.
UCUACUCCAUGGCCGAACUAAACGCACUACCAUUACAGCCUUAGCCAUAAUAUUGACUCAACUCUUAUUCCAUGGUAAGUGUUUGAUAAGUGUUUAGAAAUAUCUAAUUUGCUUUUCGUCGUCUAUUCUUCAGAGGAUAAGUGUUUAUUUGAUAUGUGCAGCUAGUCUUUCGGGUCGAGGUUUGAGAAGUGCACGCCAAACUUGUUUAUAACGACUGCUUUGAUCUCUUCACAGUCGCAGUGGAUGAGAUUAGACAUAUCCUCGGUCUCGGUUAUGUUCUGGGCCGGUUGUGUAUGGCUGAAGGUUAUGCAAGAAAACGAAGAUCGACAAAGUUUUAUUGGCUGAUGGUGUGGCGUUCAAACGACAAGAUCGAACAUGGUUGUUAUUUUGAAUAGUCGAUCGAGUAACCAAGGCCGAGGUUAUGUCCAAUCUCAUGCACAGCCACUGUGAGGAGAU